Molecule: transfer RNA, 57 nt
Filed under: Elysia chlorotica (eastern emerald elysia)
Lineage: Eukaryota; Metazoa; Mollusca; Gastropoda; Plakobranchidae
Description: tRNA-Ser
Source: RNAcentral
UUGUACAUAAGGGUUUUGAAAGCCUUUCUAGGUCAAGUAUUGACCACCUAGUGCAAC